ACGCUUCUUUCCUCCCGAGUGCUUGCACUCAAUUGGAAAGAGGAGUGGCGGACGGGUGAGUAACACGUGGGUAACCUACCCAUCAGAGGGGGAUAACACUUGGGAACAGGUGCUAAUACCGCAUAACAGUUUAUGCCGCAUGGCAUAAGAGUGAAAGGUGCUUUCGGGUGUCGCUGAUGGAUGGACCCGCGGUGCAUUAGCUAGUUGGUGAGGUAACGGCUCACCAAGGCCACGAUGCAUAGCCGACCUGAGAGGGUGAUCGGCCACACUGGGACUGAGACACGGCCCAGACUCCUACGGGAGGCAGCAGUAGGGAAUCUUCGGCAAUGGACGAAAGUCUGACCGAGCAACGCCGCGUGAGUGAAGAAGGUUUUCGGAUCGUAAAACUCUGUUGUUAGAGAAGAACAAGGACGUUAGUAACUGAACGUCCCCUGACGGUAUCUAACCAGAAAGCCACGGCUAACUACGUGCCAGCAGCCGCGGUAAUACGUAGGUGGCAAGCGUUGUCCGGAUUUAUUGGGCGUAAAGCGAGCGCAGGCGGUUUCUUAAGUCUGAUGUGAAAGCCCCCGGCUCAACCGGGGAGGGUCAUUGGAAACUGGGAGACUUGAGUGCAGAAGAGGAGAGUGGAAUUCCAUGUGUAGCGGUGAAAUGCGUAGAUAUAUGGAGGAA
RNAcentral lists this ribosomal RNA (669 nucleotides) under uncultured Bacilli bacterium. RNAcentral describes it as "bacterial SSU rRNA". It matches the Rfam family "Bacterial small subunit ribosomal RNA", at positions 66 to 706 of the family's 1533-position model. Lineage: Bacteria; Bacillati; Bacillota; Bacilli. The record is from RNAcentral.